This 1183-nucleotide long non-coding RNA is filed under the name Homo sapiens (human). RNAcentral describes it as "HSALNT0145550". Lineage: Eukaryota; Metazoa; Chordata; Mammalia; Primates; Hominidae. The record is from RNAcentral.
GCUGGGAGUGUGGGCGUGGGAAGGGGUCGGUGGGAGGGGCUCCGCGUGGGAUGGGGCAUCUGGCGCCCACUCACCAGGUCUGCGCGGGAGCCCUCGUGGGGGGGCUUGGGCUGCCGGAGCUCGCUGGGUGCCAGCUGCAGGGACACACCGUGGCUGUGGCCCCCGUGGCUAUGGCUGCUGUGGCCGCAGGGCCCGUCCUCCAGGUCCUGUGAGGGUAGGUGCUCAGUGUCCACCAGGCCCCCAGCACACCCACCCGCCGGGUACCUUCCCAAGAAGCCUGACCUCCGGGUCCCUGGGCAGCAGGAGAUUGAAGAGGUUCUCAAACAGGAAGAAGGCGUAGAGCCCGGCCAGCAUAGCCAGGAGGCGCCAGGCGCUGCAUCAAGGCUGACAGCUCUGGCAGGGAGAAGAGUUGGCACCGCGAGUCUGUGUGGGCUCCGGCCCUGCCCCCCAGGGACGUGGAGGCUGGGGACUCGGGGGUGCCCCCCUCCACAGCCCAGCCCAGGCCUCACCGGCCAGCGUCAUAGGGACCUCGCUGCUGUGCUGCUGGAACACAAAGUCCACGAAGUACUGAGGGCUCGGCAAGGCGUGGAAGCAAGACCCGCUCCUGACAUGGUCCAGCAGGGCAGCCAGGACGCCGCCAGCACUGCCCGGAGCCCCCGCCCCCACCGCCUCCUCCAGCAGCUGAGGGAUAUCUACGCAGGCCUGGGGAAGAGGGGGCCUCCGCCUCAGCCUUUGGUGUGACCUUCUGCCAUCCACCCCGCUGCCCCUGGAUGCAUCUCCCACCCCAACUACAGGAUCUGCCCCCACCAGCCCCGCCCCUCCCUGGAGCCACAGCCCUCCCUGCCGGGCCCAGCUGCUUCAGGCUCCCACUCAGGCCUCUGGGUUCCUCCCUCAUGAGGUCCCUCCCGGGGCUCCUACAGGCUCCCAACUGCCCAGUAGUGAGCCCCACGUUGUGAAUCCCCAGCCGCAGGCCGACUCCUGGGCGUCUCCCCAGGCCCCCAGGCUCCCCGAAGGCUUUGCAGCCAGGCCGGGUCCCAUGGGCCGUGGGACCCUCCUCACCCACUCCCCUGGUCUGCCUGGACUCUCCCUCACCAUCUUGGGGGUCUGGCCGGCAGCCCGGGCCUGCAUCCUCUGCAGCAGCCAGCUCAGGCCCGGGGUCAGGGCCUUGGGGCUCUCGAGCAGG